UGGGGAAUUUUGGACAAUGGGCGCAAGCCUGAUCCAGCAAUGCCGCGUGAGUGAAGAAGGCCUUCGGGUUGUAAAGCUCUUUCAGUCGAGAAGAAAAGGCUGCAGUGAAUAACUGUAGUUUAUGACGGUAUCGACAGAAGAAGCACCGGCUAACUACGUGCCAGCAGCCGCGGUAAUACGUAGGGUGCGAGCGUUAAUCGGAAUUACUGGGCGUAAAGGGUGCGCAGGCGGUUUUGUAAGUCAGAUGUGAAAUCCCCGGGCUUAACCUGGGAAUUGCGUUUGAAACUACAAGACUAGAGUGUGGCAGAGGGAGGUGGAAUUCCAUGUGUAGCAGUGAAAUGCGUAGAGAUAUGGAAGAACAUCGAUGGCGAAGGCAGCCUCCUGGGUUAACACUGACGCUCAUGCACGAAAGCGUGGGGAGCAAACAGGAUUAGAUACCCUGGUAGUCCACGCCCUAAACGAUGUCAACUAGUUGUCGGGCCUUACUAGGCUUGGUAACGAAGCUAACGCG
RNAcentral lists this ribosomal RNA (511 nucleotides) under uncultured bacterium. Its description in RNAcentral is "bacterial SSU rRNA". It matches the Rfam family "Bacterial small subunit ribosomal RNA", at positions 355 to 859 of the family's 1533-position model. The record is from RNAcentral.